This is a long non-coding RNA of Pezoporus flaviventris, 3311 nucleotides long. RefSeq lists it as uncharacterized. The transcript is spliced from 3 exons. Lineage: Eukaryota; Metazoa; Chordata; Aves; Psittaciformes; Psittacidae. The record is from RefSeq and is a predicted model, not a curated record.
AAGUCAGACAGCGAGGCAGGGACAUGAGCAGAGCUGGAACAGUACUUUCUUCCCUCAUUUCCCAGAGCUGCUGCAGACAGACAGCACUGUCACUGAACUGUAUAUUUCAAUGUAUAAUUACUCGCUUAUUAGCUGGCUACCUCAUCAUGCCAAGAAAGUUAGCGGGAAUGUAGAGCAAAGGCAUUUCUCCUCUCCCUGUCUUUCAGACCAGAGGAAAAACAACAGAUCAUACAACCUGCUGGGAAUCUCCACCUCCUCCACCCUUUUUAGCCUGGCAGAGGUUUGAUUGAUUUCUCAGUUACAUCUAGUAUGCAGAAGAAAAAGAGCUGAUCAUGCUAGCCUGAUACUAGAGACAGGGACUCUGAUGGCCAUGGCUAUUGCUGCUUCCAGAGUGACGGGCUGGGCACAUGUGCCUGGUGGGUGACCUCACACUGAGCCAUGAAGAUAUUGGGAGCAACCAGCUCUACCACACACCACUGCUCAGUACCUCAUAGAGGCGAAGGAAUAUAACACAGGGUGUCAACCUGACGUAAACCAAAUUACAGCGCCACUGUAGUCAAGGUAAGUCUUGGCUUACUUGCUGUAGAGGUGGCACUUUUUAAAGCUUGAAAACGUAAUGGGUUUCCGGAGAAGUUUCUCCAUGCAGCUUCCCAGGUGGCCACGUUUUCAUGAAGGCUGAAGUGAUUCUUCUUGCCAAAUCAGCCCCUGCAUUCAAACUUCCCCAGGAAAACCAGAUGAGUUUUUUGAAUAACAGCAGAGCAGACUUCCUUAUUAGCAAAGUCAAGCAGGAAAAUUAGUGAAAAUAGUAUAAUUUUUAUACAGACCGAAUCAUUCCUAGAUAACAGAGACAGAAAGAAAUACUGCUGGUCCGACCCCCUGUUCUAAUCAGAGCACAUUGUAAGGAACAACCUUCAACCUUGAUUUCUGAGAAGCCAAUAAUAAACCAUUCAUUUGUAUUUCACGCAGAGCAGCGCCAUAUUCCAUCAGGAUGCACAAACCAGUAUUCUGAAGGAACAAUACACAUUUGGGAUUGGAUUUAUAGCUGUUCAGUAGCCUUCAGAUUUGCAGGUAAACUAUAAUAUCUGACUUGCUGGAAGGUUUCAUGGCAUGUGACACUGGCACUGAAGAAUAAAUGCGUCUGUUUUCCCCCCUCUGAUUUUUCCUGGUCUCUGGCAUCAGGACUGAGGAAGACGGGAGUCAUGUCUCCACCCAGCUUCAGGAGGGACUGGGGCAACCAGCAACAUCCAAGAGACAGGGAGAAGCCGGUGGGAAGCCAGGGCAGGACUGACUCAGGAAUUACUGCGGUGGGCAGAGAAAGGAUCGGGUGGAAAAUGGCCAGUAGAGGGUGUGAAAGAGAGACUCUGGGUCGUCUUGAAGCAUGGAAAGAGAAGCCAGGAAUGCUGGAACGAUGGUGUGGGGGCAAGUGAACAACCAAAACUUGGAGUAAGUCAGCAUGUAAGGUAGCACUGCUGCAGCAUCACUGGGGCAGGGGCUAAUAGUCCCAGGCUGUGCUGGAAUGUGGUUCUGGGCCAUGGGCAGGGUGGGGGCAGGUUUGGGAGGGGAGCCUGGGCAGGGUCCCCAGUAUCUGGCAGCUCUGCCCCUUCUUUCUGCCCAUCCAUCUCUUACUUUUAUCCAUCCCAGCUUUUGGCAACCCCUCACAUGCUUUGCACCCCGCUAGAAUUCCCUUAAGGGAGCUGGAGGGGUUGGAGGAGCUGAUCAAAAGGUAAAGAAGAGGGCAAAAUAUGCCUCCCUCUGCCUAAGGAGCUGCCCUGGGCAUAGCUGGCCUUGGGCAUAACAUGGAGUUUAACCACCUCAGCUGGCAGGGGGUGAGCUCAUCCCUGCUCCAAACAUCUUGUUUGGGUGCAGGAGAUGCAUCACCUGUGUGAGGUGUGUUGUGUUAAGUACUCUUCUUCCUUCACCAUGUCUGGAAAAAGUACCUCUGAGCCCCUGAAAACAGCAGACAUUUUGGUGGAAGAUGGAUAAGAAAGAAUAUUUUGCAGGAACCAAGAGAUGUGCUGUCUCUGCCAAAUGAGCAUCGGCCAAUCAAAACAUUACCAAUAGAGAUUUCUCAUAUUCCCACUUUUUUUUUUUCCUUGCUUGUCUUGGUGGAAUCACAUUUCAUUUUCAAACCGCAGCUCUACAUUUAUCAUCCCUGAUUUAGUAAAUUGCCUCUUGGAGAAGCAGUGUCUAACCUACCUUUAUUUAAGACUUUGCAGGAUAAUGUGUCUGUUGGACUCAGAGAGGCUCACAAAAAAAAGUGGCAGAUGCAGCAAAUGUCUUGAAAUGGAGGGAUCAAAAUCAACCUUUCAAUAAGCCUCUUUUUGUAGUUAAAAUAGAAGGAGGUGAAGAUACCUCUAUAAUAAGAGUUGGCUCAAGGCUUAUCAGCAGGGGUUUGAAAUGAGUCGUGCAGCCCCUACAUCCUAUGAGCAGCCUUUUGCCUCUCACUGCAUCUUUCCCAGUGCCUGAGCUGCGGCCAGCCCCAGUGAGCCCAGCGUGGCUGGGUGGCAUCAUACAGGAGGGAUCCCUACAGUCUCCAAGCAAGAAUGUCAUUAGCAGUCUCUUGAGUGUUGCACCACGGAGGCUGAGGAGCAGCAGCUAUUGGGGACACACAUUGGAGCCACCUCAUUUGCAUUCCUUAGGAAGACCUGCUGGCUUUGGCAAACCCACUUGAACCUAUAGGUUACCCAUUGGCACUGCUGAAUAACCCCCAUUUGCUCUGAGAGACACCACUGCCCCUGACCAACACUGGCUCAACCCCAACAGACAGUGGAAGCAGAAGGACAGUUUUGAGCUCGAGACUGGCCAAAGCACAUAUCCAGUGUACCCCACCACACAAGAAACUCCUGGCUGUUUGGAAAAGAGAAACUGUGUCAGCAGCAGCACCCUGGGUUGCUCUUUUUUCACAAGACUUAUCUGUUGGUUUGAAGCUGGUGCGCGGUUUCCUACCCUCAAAAGACUAUUUUAAGCUCUACAGAGAGCGGUUGUUGAACAAGCUCUGUUAAUACAGCAGAGCAGCAGCAAAUCCAUUUCACCUUCUUAGCUAAUGGCUUCCCCUCCUGGAAAAGAGAUUCCUGAGAAAAGAAACAAACACUGCUGUCUGUGCCAAAACGCCUGACCUGAGCCUGAACACAGCGUGCUGCUCCCCCGGCAUGUGGGAGGGGAAGGGGCACCUAGGGUGAACUGCUCUGCCCUCAAAUACAGGACUGGAGGCUGAGGGCUGUGGUCGAAGAGGUGAGCUGGUGCAGAAUUAUUGCUUUCUGUGCUUUGAUACUUACGGGAAAAAAUAAGGGAAACUUAGCCACUGUCAUGCA